RNAcentral lists this long non-coding RNA (611 nucleotides) under Chrysolophus pictus (golden pheasant). RNAcentral's name for it is "lncRNA (ENSCPIG00010008308.1)". The record is from RNAcentral. Lineage: Eukaryota; Metazoa; Chordata; Aves; Galliformes; Phasianidae.
GGGGGUUGAUUUUAAGCAACAUAUUUUCCAAACUGGUUUUUUUUUUUUUUUUUUAAUGUAAGUCUAAUUCUUUUUUUUUUUUUUUUCAGGGCCUGAACGAGGGACACACAGGGCAGCCAAAGACAUCAGCAACAUCUGCCAGCCACCUCUGGAAGGCAGGAGCAUCGCUGAGGGCUGGACGGAGGCUCCUCCAUCGGUGGAGCCCUCAGCCGCAGACAGGAUUUUGUUUGACAGAUCUUGGAUACUGCUUCUCCUCUUCCAAAAACCACUUGCACCUGCCAUUCCUAUCUCAGGAAGUGCCUCGGAGUCAUGAAAACAGCCACCUCACACACAGCUUCAGAGAGAAACAUUUCUACAAUUUCCUAACCUGAUUUACACAAACUUUCUUGACAGUACUGGGAUGGGACAGUGUACUUUCUGCAGACCCCUAAUAGUUCAAGUUUCUUGAAAAGAACAGGAAACAGCUCACAUUCUUCUCAACACCUUUCCCUUCAUGUGUCCUCAAAGAAGAAGUUUGUGGUUGAACUGGCUUCCAUCAGCUGUGGGGAUGCCAAAAUCCCCUGGGGAAAAUUCCUUUUAAAAAAUAAAGCAGCGUGAAAUACAAGGAAACA